This 524-nucleotide ribosomal RNA is filed under the name uncultured bacterium. RNAcentral describes it as "bacterial SSU rRNA". It matches the Rfam family "Bacterial small subunit ribosomal RNA", at positions 355 to 896 of the family's 1533-position model. The record is from RNAcentral.
UGGGGAAUAUUGGACAAUGGACCGAGAGUCUGAUCCAGCAAUUCUGUGUGCACGAUGAAGUUUUUCGGAAUGUAAAGUGCUUUCAGUUGGGAAGAAAGAAAUGACGGUACCAACAGAAGAAGUGACGGCUAAAUACGUGCCAGCAGCCGCGGUAAUACGUAUGUCACGAGCGUUAUCCGGAUUUAUUGGGCGUAAAGCGCGUCUAGGUGGUUAUGUAAGUCUGAUGUGAAAAUGCAGGGCUCAACUCUGUAUUGCGUUGGAAACUGUAUAACUAGAGUACUGGAGAGGUAAGCGGAACUACAAGUGUAGAGGUGAAAUUCGUAGAUAUUUGUAGGAAUGCCGAUGGGGAAGCCAGCUUACUGGACAGAUACUGACGCUAAAGCGCGAAAGCGUGGGUAGCAAACAGGAUUAGAUACCCUGGUAGUCCACGCUGUAAACGAUGAUUACUAGGUGUUGGGGGUCAAACCUCAGCGCCCAAGCAAACGCGAUAAGUAAUCCGCCUGGGGAGUACGUACGCAAGUAUG